This 324-nucleotide ribosomal RNA is filed under the name uncultured eukaryote. RNAcentral describes it as "partial 18S ribosomal RNA". It matches the Rfam family "Eukaryotic small subunit ribosomal RNA", at positions 1470 to 1796 of the family's 1831-position model. The record is from RNAcentral.
CCCUUAGAUGUCCUGGGCUGCACGCGCGCUACACUGAUGUGUCCAGUAAGCACCUAACCUCUUCCGAAAGGAACGGGUAACCUUUGCAAAGCACAUCGUGAUGGGGAUAGAUUAUUGCAAUUAUUAGUCUUGAACGAGGAAUUCCUAGUAAGCACAAGUCAUCAGCUUGUGUUGAUUACGUCCCUGCCCUUUGUACACACCGCCCGUCGCGCCUACCGAUUGAAUGUUCCGGUGAGCUCUUCGGACUGCGCGGUCUGCAGUUUCUGCGUUCCGUGCGGAAAGUUGCGCAAACCUUAACAUUUAGAGGAAGGAGAAGUCGUAACA